CAUCGAAUCCUGUACCGUUAUGGUAUUGGGAAAUGUGAUGUAUAGGUUGUGUCUUUAAUUGUGGAGCUGGCUUCAAAUUUGCUUGAAUGCAAUCUAGUCCCGAGAGGGUGUAAGACCCGUUGGAGCUGGUAAAGCAGUUAUUGAUGCUUCCGAUGAGUCGGAUUGUUUGGGAAUGCAGUCCAAAUUGGGUGGUAAACUCCAUCUAAGGCUAAAUACUUGUACGAGUCCGAUAGCAAACAAGUACCGUGAGGGAAAGUUGAAAAGAACUUUGAAGAGAGAGUUAAAUAGUACGUGAAAUCGCUUAGAGGUAAUCGAGCAGAGCCGAAGCUGGUGCAUGGGAAUCAGUGUGUUGUGCUUUGAGUCUUGUCGGUGUUUGGCAUCAGUCAAACGAUCUCGCCGGUUAGCUCUCGAGGUGCGAUGCAUGCACUUUCCAUGUACCUUUACUGCGAGCAGUAACGCCGUUCAAUUGUCGUGAUGAAACAGUUGAUCUAGUCUUCGGACCGGAUUUUAUAGUUAGUCGCACGGUUAGAACGGUAUACUGGUGAAUGCAAACGGUCAAUGUUGACGGAUCGUUAUGGCGGUAGUGUGUGGCUUGACUCAAAUCGAGACUUGCUGCGUAUCGGCUGCUGUGAUGGUAUGUUGACGGAUUGUUUUAAACUCCGCAGUGUAUAUGUAGGUUACCUGCUUGACCCGUCUUGAAACACGGACCAAGGAGUUUUAUAUGGUUGCGAGUCAAAGGGCUAAAAACCCCAAGGCGAAAUGAAAGUAAAGGUUAACUUCAAUGUUAACUGACAUGUGACCCGGUAACCUCGGUUGCCGGUGCAACAUGGACCCGCUUGAAGGUGUUCGCAUCUGGGCGGAGUUAGAGCAGCCAUGUAGAGACCCGAAAGAUGGUGAACUAUGCUCGAGCAGGUUGAAGUCAGAGGAAACUCUGAUGGAGGACCGUAGCGAUUCUGACGUGCAAAUCGAUCGUCAGACUUGAGUAUAGGGGCGAAAGACUAAUCGAACCAUCUAGUAGCUGGUUCCCUCCGAAGUUUCCCUCAGGAUAGCUGGCACUUGUGAUUUAGUUAUAUUCGGUCAAGCGAAUGAUUAGAAGUCUUGGGGGCGAAAUGCUCUCAACUUAUUCUCAAACUUUAAAUGAGUAUGACAUUCGGCUCGCUUCACUGGAGUCGUAUCGUUCGUCGAAUAAAAGUGCCUAGUGGGCCAUUUUUGGUAAGCAGAACUGGCGAUGUGGGAUGAACCAAACAUCCGGUUAAGGUGCCUAACAAUAUGCUCAUGAGAUACCACAAAAGGUGUUGGUUGAUAAAGACAGCAGGACGGUGGACAUGGAAGUCGUCAUCCGCUAAGGAGUGUGUAACAACUCACCUGCCGAAUCAACCAGCCCUGAAAAUGGAUGGCGCUUUAGCAUAUGACCUAUACCGGAUCGUUGGGGUAAGCUGUUUCAGCGAGUACGCCUCAACGAGUAGGAGGGUGCCAUGG
RNAcentral lists this ribosomal RNA (1479 nucleotides) under Rhodax sp. MR266. Its description in RNAcentral is "partial large subunit ribosomal RNA". It matches the Rfam family "Eukaryotic large subunit ribosomal RNA", at positions 112 to 1397 of the family's 3401-position model. The record is from RNAcentral. Lineage: Eukaryota; Metazoa; Platyhelminthes; Tricladida; Dimarcusidae.